Molecule: long non-coding RNA, 273 nt
Organism: Diorhabda carinulata
Lineage: Eukaryota; Metazoa; Arthropoda; Insecta; Coleoptera; Chrysomelidae
Exons: 2
Source: RefSeq, a predicted model, not a curated record
CGUUUGACUCCAUAACUCAUUUAUUUUCCGAAAGAGGUUAGUUGUCAAAACUCGUUACUUUUCAUAUAAAAUUUCAUGUACCGUUGCAUACGUCAUUCAUUUCUCAUUUUUGAAUCUGACAAUAUCAUGUUUGACGUUUUACUGUAUCAGUGAUCGUGAACAAUUCAGUCUUCGGCGUUUGUGCGGUUAGAGUGCCGGCUUUGUGAAAAGAGAUGGGUCGAUGUGUCGGAGAUUACGAUCGUGGGAAAGGAAGAAAGAGAAUUGCAAACAAAA